RNAcentral lists this ribosomal RNA (391 nucleotides) under uncultured bacterium. Its description in RNAcentral is "bacterial SSU rRNA". It matches the Rfam family "Bacterial small subunit ribosomal RNA", at positions 28 to 420 of the family's 1533-position model. The record is from RNAcentral.
GACGAACGCUGGCGGCGUGCUUAACACAUGCAAGUCGAGCGGUAAGGCCCUUUCGGGGGUACACGAGCGGCGAACGGGUGAGUAACACGUGGGUGACCUGCCUCUAGCUCUGGGAUAAGCCUGGGAAGCUGGGUCUAAUACCGGAUAUGACCUCGCGGUGCAUGUUGCGGGGUGGAAAGCCUUGUGCGGCUAGGGAUGGGCCCGCGGCCUAUCAGCUUGUUGGUGGGGUGANGGCCUACCAAGGCGACGACGGGUAGCCGGCCUGAGAGGGCGACCGGCCACACUGGGACUGAGACACGGCCCAGACUCCUACGGGAGGCAGCAGUGGGGAAUCUUGCGCAAUGGGCGAAAGCCUGACGCAGCGACGCCGCGUGAGGGAUGACGGCCUCGG